GCUCCAGUGGACUAGUGGUUAGAGCGUUCGCCUCUGAUGCGAAAGGUCGUGAGUUCGAUCCCCGGUCGAGUCA
Non-coding RNA from Potamilus streckersoni, 73 nucleotides. Lineage: Eukaryota; Metazoa; Mollusca; Bivalvia; Unionida; Unionidae. The record is from the annotation of a GenBank genome assembly.